UACGGAGGAUGCGAGCGUUAUCCGGAUUUAUUGGGUUUAAAGGGUGCGUAGGCGGAUUAUUAAGUCAGUGGUGAAAACCUGCAGCUCAACUGUAGACUUGCCAUUGAUACUGAUAGUCUUGAGUAUGGUCAAGGCAGGCGGAAUGUGUAAUGUAGCGGUGAAAUGCUUAGAUAUUACACAGAACACCGAUUGCGAAGGCAGCUUGCUGGGCCGUUACUGACGCUGAUGCACGAAAGCGUGGGGAGCGAACAGG
This 253-nucleotide ribosomal RNA is filed under the name uncultured prokaryote. Its description in RNAcentral is "partial 16S ribosomal RNA". It matches the Rfam family "Bacterial small subunit ribosomal RNA", at positions 524 to 776 of the family's 1533-position model. The record is from RNAcentral.